This is a long non-coding RNA of Zophobas morio, 446 nucleotides long. RefSeq lists it as uncharacterized. The transcript is spliced from 4 exons. Lineage: Eukaryota; Metazoa; Arthropoda; Insecta; Coleoptera; Tenebrionidae. The record is from RefSeq and is a predicted model, not a curated record.
CGGACAUGUAUGAAAAAUCUUAUAUGCACCGGGACGUUAUUACUCACUGCUUAGUUACUCCAAAAACUAACUUUGUAGUGACUGCGAGCGUUGACGGGCAUGUCAAGUUUUGGAAAAAAAGUGAAGGAGGCAUUGAAUUUGUGAAGCAUUAUAAAUGCCAUCUCGAAGCCAUAUCGGGCGUCUGCUGUACUGCUGAUGGGCUUUUUCUUUGCACCAUUUCUUCCGAUAAAUUCCUUAAAAUUUUUGACGUCAACAGUUUUGAUCUCAUUAAUAUUGUGGCGUUGCCCUUUUUGCCUUCGGCAUGUGCGUGGAUCCACCAAUCAUCUUCAGUUAUUCAACGUUUGGCCAUAGGCGCUGAAACUGAUUCGAAAAUCCGCAUUUAUGAUUCGCAAAGUACAGGCGAAUUUUCUAGUGAAAUUGAGAUACAUUUGGACUCCGUUUUUUUA